This is a non-coding RNA of Pelobates cultripes (western spadefoot toad), 404 nucleotides long. The record is from the annotation of a GenBank genome assembly. NCBI's taxonomy places the organism in Eukaryota, Metazoa, Chordata, Amphibia, Anura, Pelobatidae.
AUAUAAUUGGCACACUACAAUCUGUUGGAAAGAUUGAACGGGGCUUGCUAAGCACCAUAACCACUAUAGCUCAUUAUAAUGGUUAUGGUGCUAUGAAUCUAUGGCCACUGAUUGGCUCUCCCUGAAACUCAUAGGCCACACCCUCUCCAGCACACUGUGAAGGAGACACUCCAGACUUCUAAAGCUGUUUAGCUUGCCUUAUGUGUAAAGAAUGUGUCCUAUUUGUUUCAUUUUACAGAUUGAAGUACAGAUUAAAACAGAAAUUGGCACUUCUAACUAUGUUACACCCCCUUGUCUGUCAAUCAGACACUGUGCCUGUUACUUCCUGGUGUGUUUAGCUCUGUGGAAAUACACUUAAGGACAGCAAUUGCCCAGAGCACCUGCCUCGCAAAGACUUCUCAUUG